This 5383-nucleotide unclassified non-coding RNA is filed under the name Leishmania donovani. RNAcentral's name for it is "gene:LdHU3.02.0640(CDS-product:hypothetical_prote in_conserved)". Lineage: Eukaryota; Euglenozoa; Kinetoplastea; Trypanosomatida; Trypanosomatidae. The record is from RNAcentral.
UAAACGCCAGAAAACAAAGACGAGGUGCAGAGCACACGUCUGACUUUUGCCCACUUCCACCGCGUGUUCACUUCCGUGAGCACACAGUCGCUCGUUCCACCAAACGCCGACAGUCGCCUUACGUGAGGGGGUAAUCUUCACUGCAAAGCAAGCGGCAGCGCGGAGGCUUUAUUAUUCCUCGUCGGACAAAUAAAGUGAUAUAGCGGUGUGUGUGUGUGUGCCCACGUAGCAUACACGCUUACACCACACAUCAUAGGAAGGGUCGUUCUCUCUUCUCUUUACGCCUCCCUCCCCUCCCCCCAUUUUGCCUCCUCAUCGGCGUUUGGCCAUCUUCUGUGAUCUGAAUCGCCAGCAUCCCGCACUCGCCAUCCUCUGCCUCAACCCUCCCUCCGCGCCGUGUUUUGUCUCUCACGUAGCGUCACCGACGUCUGGGUAGCACACCCGCCCAGGUACGCGCACAGAGACACGGGGGAUCGUCAAGUCGAAGCGACUAAGAGAGUGGGAUACCCAGACCAGGGUGGGAGCAGACGUAGAAGGGACAUGUCUGCCGUCAGCCCGCCCAGCGGGCAACUGACGCCACCGACGGCUUUCAUCGCCACACCAUCCGGCUUCAACGCCAGCGGCUCUGCCCCGUCCUUCGUCAAGGUGUACUGCGGCAACGACGAGUGUGUUCCGCUCAGCAAGCAGUGCACUGGCGGCGUCUUCCAGGGCGUCCUCUCCGACCUUGCAAACCGCGUCAGCAAGCACGAGGCGCAGGAUCGGGGCAGUCGCAGUCACCGCGUGAAGACUGUGGGAAGUGCCGCCGCGGCAGACGGGGCAGCCUUGGCUCUGGGGACUGUGGCUGGAAGCGGCGGCAGCGACGGCAAGGGUGAGCCGACGCCGCCGGCCUCAGAAGAUCGUGUGGGUACUGCGGGGACCCGUGGCAGGGUGGCGAAGGGAGGCGGUGCUAGUGCGAAAAAGAAGCAAUCUGCGCCGCUGCUGUCUACGUCACCGCUGCUUCUGCCAGCAUCGAAGGGUGUUGCCCCGGCUGCGCCAUCCACAGAGCCAUUCCACUCCACCGACACCUCACCCACCACUGAUACAGCCGCUGCGUCGGUAGGUGACCCGCUUGCAGGUGAGAGUGGUGUUCGUGUGGCAUGCGAUGUCGUGUACCGCCGCGCGGAGCUUCUACCGCUCAGUUUCGUGCGCGACGUCGCGUCGAACAGCAGGGUAACGGCACUGUACAAGCAACACCUUCAGCUUCAAGAGGAGCUUCAGCGCCAUCAGCUCGAGCAACAGCAGCUACAGAAGCAGAAAGAGGAUGAUGAUGACGCUGCCUCCGCCGCGGCUGCCAAGGCGGCGAAAAACGAUGCGUCAGAUGCUGCAAGCAACCAGAGCACUGCAGGUCGCGCUGAUGGGAAAGGAGGCAAGAUACCAAGCAGCAAGCCCGCUCCUCGACGGCGCGGGAUGCCAAGCGUGAGCCGAGGCGGUAGCGCUAUCUCUGGAAACCGAGUUUCAUGUUCUGUUAGCUCCGCUGCAACUUCUGCGGUCGCUGCGACGGCGCUGGCUGCCCAGAUCCGCACACAGCUCUGGACCGCUUUGCGGAACACAAUCCCCUUCUUCGGCGUGCUGACGAUGCCCGUUCACACACCCAUGGAGCCACUUAUCAGCCUGCCAGCAUCGGCAUCUGCAAGUGGUGCGAGCACCGCCGCUGCGAGGGCCGCAGCAGCGACGACGACGCCGCCGGUAGCAGGUGUGGUGUCCGCGGCUACGGCCGUCUGUAGCGGCUCUUAUGUGCUGCUGGGAUGCCGCGAGCGACCGCGCGAGGAAACGAUUUCGGCCGACGCGACACCGGUGUUUUCCCAAGCGGGGCGAUGCGCGUCCGGUGCUCUGUCCUUCAUCGGCGGGGUCGCUGCGUGUCCAAGCAUGUCUGCUGUGGAGCGGCUGGUGGAGCAGGCCCACGAGGCAUCCGUGACGCGGCUUCCGCCCCUCAGUAGCGACGCUGUGCUUCGCAGCAACGGCGGCACGACCGCAUCCGGGGCCAACAGCGAAGGCGCAAAGCGGUCGCCGCGAAAGCAGCGCCUGCACCCGAGGGAUCUGCAGGAGCAGGUGUCGCAGCAGUCGCUGCCGUUGCGGUGCACGCUGCACCCCACCACCAACCGUGUCGUGCCGAUGUUGCCUCCGCUUCCAGAUGACAUCGCGGCCGGCUACGGCGCUGCGAGGCUGGUGACGAAGUCGCUCGGUCAAUCUGCUGCGGGCCGCAGCGGAGACGCGGACGACUCCACGACGCCGUCGGGAACUCGUAUCAGCAGGAUCGCCGCUAACGGCCGCGGCUGCGGUAACCCUGAUCGAGCACAUCGACGCUCCUUAGAUGAGCCUACCGACGGCUUUGUGAGUGCAGUGAACGCCUCUGCGGCUGCUGGUCUGAGACGCCCACUGUCGAGCAGUAAGGAUGCGCCACCGACGGGGCUUGCGAAGGGCAGAGCCGGCGCUGGGCCGCUCUCUGACGAAGUCGGCGUCGAAGGUGGCGAGGAGGCAACGUUAAUGAACGCACAGCAGCCGUCGAAUGCUGCUGCCGCUUCACAUGGCCCUCUCUCUCCAUCUACCGUGCCGCAUGCGAGUUCGGCCGUGGGGCCGAGCGGCAGCACAUACCGGGACGGUGACGGACCCGGAAAAGGAAUGGAGCCAGGUGUACCCCUCUCCGCAGCCGCCAUCGCCCGCCUCGCGCCUUCCACUCGGUUUACGGUGCAGCUGUCCAGCUGCACCGUAACCUUGACUACGCAGACCCGGAAGGGAGUGGGGAUGAACGCCGCUGACGCCGCAUCCCCCAACACCACUGGCGCGGCAAACAGCAUCAGCGGUACCGGUAGGAUCGCCACCGGCAGUUGUGAGGUCGACACCUAUGCAGACGAGCUUACCCUCGUGUUUGACGGGCUGGAUGUGCUCUGGCACGGUCCCAAUGGCGAGGAGGCGUUGCUGCAGUGGGUUCUGGAUGAGUACUCUAUUCUACUGAAGCAGCGUAUGGCAGCUGCCAUGGCGCAGUGGACGUCGAUGGUGCACGCCAGUGACACCAGCGCUGGCGCCGCCGGCGAGUCCUCCUCCAAGGCGAACAAGAUGCGGCGCCAACUACCGAGCGAGCGUGUACAGGCGUAGCAUGAUGGCGGCUGCUUGCGUUCGACCAGAGGCGGAUUCGCAAAGAGAGGGACACGCAAGCACCUCCCCACUUUUCCUUCUAUACUCCUCACACACACACGACGUACACGGACCCCCUUCCCCCGUUCAUUCCGCAUGGGUCUUCUAUCGUUUUUGUCCCUCCCUCCCUCUCUGCCGCCGCGCUCUGGUCGCCGGGAUUUGGCGCUCUUUUUCUCUCGCACACGAGCGCGUCGUUCCUCCUUUGCACCCCCUCCACCCAUGCGCGCCGCGCCUAUGAGUUUGCGUGUGCGGCCACGCGACGGGCGCGCCAUUCACAGGAGGCAUCGUGCAGUGGAGGAGGGGUGCUGGGGUAGUGGGGGCUGGGGGCGUGCUCAGCGAGGAACAGGAGGUAUGCACGUGUGAAAUACGCUGUUCUUACACCUCUCUCCUGUCCACCCAUCGACACACGGUCAUCGUCGUCUCUCUCUCUCUCCUGUUAUUCUAACAGCCUUCUUCGGCAGAAGCCGAGCAGCAGCGAAGUUUUAUGGCUCCUCUCUCGGUGUAUGGUGUGACAUUCCGUGGGCACCCCCUCCCCCUCCUUUCCUGCGUCUGCCACAUCCGAUGUAAGUCGAGUAUAAUACACGAUGGAAACAGAGAGCAGUAACGUCAUGUGGUGUUGUGCUCUGAACUCUUUCGUUAUGUAUAGGAAUACGUCUCCCCCCUCCCUCUGUCCAUCUCUCGUCUUUUUUUUGUGAGGCGUCAUGCUGGAAAGCUUCCGCUGCCGCUUCCUAGGCGACAUGCACACAAACCCAUUCCAGCACACACACACACACACACACACACACACACGCACGCACGCACUCACGCAGCUGCGCUUCGCUCAAAUGUAAUGCGUGGCCGCUUCGCGUGUUUGUGUGUGUGAGUGGGACCAUGUACUUGUAUAAGCACUUUCCUUCUUGUUCCUCCUCCCACCCACCUCCCCUCUCGAUCUCCCUCCAUGAUCGUGUAUGUGUGCCUGCGUUCUCUACUGGACCGUGACGGUAGUCUACCGAUGCGCCUUCCUCCUUGUUUCAUGCGUAUCUCUUUCUCUCUCUCUGUGCGGGUGCCGCUCUUGUCUUUCCUUCCACAUUCCAGCGAUCUGAGCUUCCUUCUUCACCGCUCUCCUUCCCAUCCCUCCCCCUCUCUCGGCCACUAUGCCUGCGCGUGUGUGGGACGCGCAGGCGUUUAUGUACUCGGGCCGCCACUGCAGGCCCCCCCCCCCCCCCCCCCUCGCUCCUCAUCUCUCUCACCUCCUGUUCUGUUGUUGUUGUUUCUGUUCCCGGUCUUUUACUCAACUUGAACGUCUCUGUACAGCCUCCCUCCCUUCCCUCCCCCCAUGACGCACAUGCACACGACCUGCUUUGCCAUGUGUCAUGCUGUUCGCCGUAUAGCGGCUCCCCGUUGCUGUUGUGCCGCUGUCUCACGCUGUUGGCGACCCUGCGCGUGUAUAUAUACACACAUACAUACAUAUGUAUACACACGUACACACGCGCGCGUAUGUCUGUGUGUGCGUGUCGAUGCCGAGAUAUUUCGCGAGAGGUGGAUGAGGGCGCGCUGUUGUCGGUGUGGUGACGGCGUGUGCGGAGCAAGGUUCCCUUUCUUGGCCACACACGCAGACAGACCUGCGCCUUCUUUCGCUUCUCUUGUCACCGCGGGCUGUGUUGACAUCGCUGUUAGGUCGGCGACUAGUUGAGCAGGACGAACGAUGUACAUUACGCCGCCGACACCGCCACCACCCCUCAGCCAAACAAGCGAACACGCUGCGCCGUCCUUUCACAUAUAACAUCUCUCUCUCGCUCUCCCUCCCUCUGCUCCUGAUGGCACACACGCACACACACGCACACAUGCACAGGGGUACAGAUACACGUACGUCUCCAGGUCGAGCCUGAAGAUGCAGACACGAAAACAGAGGUAUCGUAGUGGAAGCGCUGGCUGCGUAUGCAUCGGCGCCGCUCACUCCCUCGCUCUCUUCGUCUGCCGCUCUUUCUGUGUGUCUGCGCGUGUGAAGUCGUGUGUGCAGAAAAGGAAAAGGGGGGACGGAGGCGGGGGAUCGUUGCAGGGAUCGGUGCAGCGGUAUGUAUGUUUUUGUGGUUUCCGAUUUCUCUCGCUUCUCGCUUGCCAUUUUUCGCUGCCUCCGCUGGUGUGGCUUUUCCUUUCCUUACUUGGACGUCUUCCGUGUCCCCUCCACUCCCCCUUCUUUCUCCAUCUGUGAUUCUCUCGCUCCAUGUCUGUG